UCCAAUAAUUUAUCAAAACCCUUUUUCAGUACUAAAUGACUCCAUAACCUUAUGGAAAACCAUAUGCUAGAACUAGUAACAAGAAGAAGACCUUCUCCAAAAUACAAGUGUGAGCCGAAAUGAACAACUCACCGGCAUUUAACGUAAAUGAGCCCACAGUAGCAACCAAACAAGAAAACCCUACUCAUUUCUACGUCAACCUUACACCAGUGUAUUUCUGGAAAGAUUAAAAGAAGAGGAAGGAACUCGGCAAAUUAUUAACUCCGCCUGUUUACCAAAAACAUCGCCUCUUGACAAAAUAUAAGAGGUCCAGCCUGCCCAGUGACAAAGUUAAACGGCCGCGGUACCCUAACCGUGCGAAGGUAGCGCAAUCACUUGUUCUUUAAAUAAGGACUAGUAUGAACGGCAUCACGAGAGUUAUACUGUCUCCCUCUUUCAAUCAGUGAAACUGACCUCCCCGUGAAGAGGCGGGGAUAUAAUUAUAAGACGAGAAGACCCCAUGGAGCUUUAAACUCAGUAUCAAUUACCUAAUUAUACACCAUUUUAACCUGGUAAAUAUGACCACUAGUUUUCGGUUGGGGUGACCGCGGAGUAAAAUAAAACCUCCACGAUGAAAGGACCAAUCCUCCUAAUCAAAGAGCCACAGCUCAAAGAAUCAAUAAAUUGACAUAAUUGAUCCAAUUAAUUUUGAUCAACGAACCAAGUUACCCUGGGGAUAACAGCGCAAUCCACUUCAAGAGCUCCUAUCGACAAGUGGGUUUACGACCUCGAUGUUGGAUCAGGGUAUCCCAGUGGUGCAGCCGCUACUAAAGGUUC
RNAcentral lists this ribosomal RNA (816 nucleotides) under Kaloula borealis (Manchurian narrowmouth toad). RNAcentral's name for it is "partial 16S rRNA". It matches the Rfam family "Bacterial large subunit ribosomal RNA", at positions 1240 to 2574 of the family's 2925-position model. Lineage: Eukaryota; Metazoa; Chordata; Amphibia; Anura; Microhylidae. The record is from RNAcentral.